AAUAGAUACCCGGUAGUCCACGCCGUAAACGAUGAGUGCUAAGUGUUAGAGGGUUUCCGCCCUUUAGUGCUGCAGCUAACGCAUUAAGCACUCCGCCUGGGGAGUACGGCCGCAAGGCUGAAACUCAAAGGAAUUGACGGGGGCCCGCACAAGCGGUGGAGCAUGUGGUUUAAUUCGAAGCAACGCGAAGAACCUUACCAGGUCCUGACAUCCUCUGCCAACCCUAGAGAUAGGGCGUUCCCCUUCGGGGGACAGAGUGACAGGUGGUGCAUGGUUGUCGUCAGCUCGUGUCGUGAGAUGUUGGGUUAAGUCCCGCAACGAGCGCAACCCUUGAUCUUAGUUGCCAGCAUUCAGUUGGGCACUCUAAGGUGACUGCCGGUGACAAACCGGAGGAAGGUGGGGAUGACGUCAAAUCAUCAUGCCCCUUAUGACCUGGGCUACACACGUGCUACAAUGGAUGGUACAAAGAGCUGCGAACCCGCGAGGGUAAGCGAAUCUCAUAAAGCCAUUCUCAGUUCGGAUUGUAGG
This 528-nucleotide ribosomal RNA is filed under the name uncultured bacterium. RNAcentral describes it as "bacterial SSU rRNA". It matches the Rfam family "Bacterial small subunit ribosomal RNA", at positions 777 to 1304 of the family's 1533-position model. The record is from RNAcentral.